Molecule: transfer RNA, 56 nt
Filed under: Erinaceus europaeus (western European hedgehog)
Lineage: Eukaryota; Metazoa; Chordata; Mammalia; Eulipotyphla; Erinaceidae
Rfam family: tRNA
About the family: Transfer RNA (tRNA) molecules are approximately 80 nucleotides in length. Their secondary structure includes four short double-helical elements and three loops (D, anti-codon, and T loops). Further hydrogen bonds mediate the characteristic L-shaped molecular structure. tRNAs have two regions of fundamental functional importance: the anti-codon, which is responsible for specific mRNA codon recognition, and the 3' end, to which the tRNAs corresponding amino acid is attached (by aminoacyl-tRNA synthetases). tRNAs cope with the degeneracy of the genetic code in two manners: having more than one tRNA (with a specific anti-codon) for a particular amino acid; and 'wobble' base-pairing, i.e. permitting non-standard base-pairing at the 3rd anti-codon position.
Source: Rfam by way of RNAcentral
GCUCAGUAGGUAGAGCAUGAGAUUCUUAAUCUCAGGGUCGUGGGUUCGUGCCCCAC